Molecule: ribosomal RNA, 460 nt
Filed under: uncultured bacterium
Lineage: Bacteria
Description: partial 16S ribosomal RNA
Rfam family: Bacterial small subunit ribosomal RNA
Source: RNAcentral
CCUACGGGAGGCUGCAGUGAGGAAUAUUGGUCAAUGGGCGGAAGCCUGAACCAGCCAAGUCGCGUGAGGGAAUAAGGCCCUACGGGUCGUAAACCUCUUUUGCCGGGGAGCAAGGGCCGGGACGAGUCCCGGUCCGGAGAGUACCCGGAGAAAAAGCAUCGGCUAACUCCGUGCCAGCAGCCGCGGUAAUACGGAGGAUGCGAGCGUGAUCCGGUUGUAUCGGGUUUAAAGGGUGCGUAGGCGGGCUGUUAAGUCAGCGGUAAAAAUUCGGGGCUCAACCCCGUCCGGCCGUUGAAACUGGGGGCCUUGAGUGGGCGAGAAGAAGGCGGAAUGCGUGGUGUAGCGGUGAAAUGCAUAGAUAUCACGCAGAACCCCGAUUGCGAAGGCAGCCUUCCGGCGCCCUACUGACGCUGAGGCACGAAAGUGCGGGGAUCGAACAGGAUUAGAUACCCCAGUAGUC